RNAcentral lists this ribosomal RNA (274 nucleotides) under uncultured bacterium. RNAcentral describes it as "partial 16S ribosomal RNA". It matches the Rfam family "Bacterial small subunit ribosomal RNA", at positions 523 to 796 of the family's 1533-position model. The record is from RNAcentral.
CUACGGAGGGUCCGAGCGUUAAUCGGAAUUACUGGGCGUAAAGCGCGCGUAGGCGGCUAUAUAAGUCAGAUGUGAAAUCCCUGGGCUCAACCUAGGAACUGCAUUUGAAACUGUAUGGCUAGAGUAUGGUAAAGGUGAGUGGAAUUUCAGGUGUAGCGGUGAAAUGCGUAGAGAUCUGAAGGAACAUCAGUGGCGAAGGCGACUCACUGGGCCAUUACUGACGCUGAGGUGCGAAAGCGUGGGUAGCAAACAGGAUUAGAAACCCCAGUAGUCC